CAGCCGCCGCGGUAAUACGAGGGGGGCAAGCGUUGUUCGGAUUUAUUGGGCGUAAAGGGUGCGUAGGCGGUUUGGCAAGUCUUGUGUGAAAUCUAUGGGCUCAACCCAUAGCCUGCACGAGAAACUACCGGGCUUGAGUGAUGGAGAGGUGAGUGGAAUUUCCGGUGUAGCGGUGAUAUGCGUAGAUAUCGGAAGGAACACCUGUGGCGAAAGCGGCUCACUGGACAUUAACUGACGCUGAUGCACGAAAGCUAGGGGAGCAAACAGGAUUAGAUACCCCCGUAGUCCCUGUCUCUUAUAC
RNAcentral lists this ribosomal RNA (301 nucleotides) under uncultured bacterium. Its description in RNAcentral is "partial 16S ribosomal RNA". It matches the Rfam family "Bacterial small subunit ribosomal RNA", at positions 509 to 807 of the family's 1533-position model. The record is from RNAcentral.